GGCAACAAUACCGAGAAAAUGUACGAAAUGUUGGCAGUGGACAAACUUUGGACCACAUGAGUUUAGAUGCAAGUGUAUCCCUGAGAAUGCACAAUUGUCUCCGCUGAGUUUCUUUCAAAGCAACAGCACCGUCCAGAGGUUCAUAGAAUUACCAAGUAACGGGGCAAUGACUCGACAUCACAACGAUUUGGAGCGAGGCAUACAAACAUAUCAACGUGUAGUAAUGAAGAAUGGCAGACCUGUUGAAACUGAAGAAUUCAGGUUUUAUUCAACCAAUUAAAGGAUACUGAAAAAUACAGAAAAUAUGUUUUUAAACCUUGUGUUGUGUUCAGAUACACCUAAGGUUCCCAGUCAAAAAUGACUGGCCUAUUAAAAAAUGCUUGUAAAUCACUUGUUAUGCUAUAAUAUCAACAACUAUUAGUUUCAAUCUUUUUGUCAAUGUGUUUUCUUUGAAUUAGGACUGGUUUUGUGUUUAUUUGUUGGUCAUAUUGGUUGUAUAGGCCUCAAUAAUCUUUUAGGAGUUUACACACCUUAGUUUUUGAGUGAAAAAAGCAUUACUUUAGAAUAAUUUUGACCCUAUUAAAAUACAGGGGGUACAAUUGCACAGAUUAUCACACUAGGGUGCUCUAAUGUUUAAUCAGGAAGUUUGCUUUGAAAAGUUGUUAUUUUGUACAAAAUUGCAACAACAGCAAACAUUUUCAACCUUCAACCACAUUUUAUGCACUUAUGAGGAUUGAUAUCUGUUGUGUAUUCCAAGUCAUUUAUGGAAUGAAAGUUCAUACUGUCUUGACAUGUUGCCUUAUAAGAGUUGCAAUAUAAACUUACAUUUUCUCCUUCACCUCCUUC
Carassius carassius (crucian carp) is the source of this 846-nucleotide long non-coding RNA. RefSeq lists it as uncharacterized. Lineage: Eukaryota; Metazoa; Chordata; Actinopteri; Cypriniformes; Cyprinidae. The record is from RefSeq and is a predicted model, not a curated record. The transcript is spliced from 3 exons.